This is a long non-coding RNA of Sorghum bicolor (sorghum), 1465 nucleotides long. RefSeq lists it as uncharacterized. NCBI's taxonomy places the organism in Eukaryota, Viridiplantae, Streptophyta, Magnoliopsida, Poales, Poaceae. The record is from RefSeq and is a predicted model, not a curated record. The transcript is spliced from 2 exons.
UUGACAAAAAGAAUCUUCCAUGCGCCGCCGCUACCUCCAACCAUCCGCGGCCGCCGCCCCCAGGCCCUAACCUCGCCCUCUCUAUCUCCCCGAUCCGCCAGGCCCGAGCCCUCGACAAACACGUGACAGCCACCACCGCUCCUUCCUAAUCCACGCGUGAUGCCCUCCGCGGUCUGGGGCGCGCCUCCUGCUGGCACUGGUCAUCUCCGGGCACUGCGGCGCUGCCUGCACGCGCACCAUCGUGGGCUGAAGCGCCGGCGGCGGAAGCACACGAGAUCCCCUCCCCGAUCAAGACAGUGGUGGUGGUAGCGAUGGAAAACCACCGCAAGCCUGUGCGGGCAUGGGACAUGUCUGCUCACGCGUACGUCGACGCCGUCGAUCUCCGACGCUGCCGUGCCAACUCCGUCGUCGGCCAGCGAAGAUGGAAUGCAUAUGAUGUUUUUUUUUGGGGGGAGGGGGGGGGGGAAUGUGGAUAGCACUGAGGUUGAUUUUGAUAUGUCUUAUUUUGCUAAUCAUGUUGUUGAACAAGCCUCUCAGUCUACUAUAGGAAACAAGAAGAUAACAUGUUGGUGUUAGCAUGGCUAGACGUGGGAAUGUAGACAUUAGAAGUAUAAACAUUAGAGAUACAGCUGUUAAAAAUGGUUCAUUUGUUUGUUACAAGAUAUGCAUUAAAUAGAGGUAGGAGAAAGUAGGGAGGCAAAUAUGAUGGAACUGAUAGAGUUCACAACUAAGUAGGGGGUGGAAUCUAGAUGAGGGAGCCCUACUUUGAAGGGCAGGGGGUCAAAAUUUGAGGGUUCGGUUGGAGAUGCUCUAAGGUGUUUGGCUUCUGGGGAAAGGUAUGUGGCUUGUGAUGAUCUUAAUUUUCCUGUGCUCUUAAUUUUCACGAUGUUGUAGAUUGUUUAUUACUCAUCACAUAUUUACUAUUUUCACUUAAGUGUUAUGUGAAGAUUUAUUAUUUCUUGAGGCAUGACCUCUUUGUGCAUUUGACCUCAAUUGUUUUGGUAGCAAGGACAUGAGGAGCUUGAUGCAGCCUGCCUACCGGAGCAUGAAGAAUCAAAGAGGUGAGAAAUAUUGCUUUCAUUGCAGGCUGUAAUUAACUCUUGAUGAUACUUGCUGGGAGGCCACUGGGGCUCUGAGGAGCGCUGCUCACUCUAAACAACACGACGCUUGAGAUGUACUUCAUCGUUCUCGGAUUGAAGAUAAAUAUUUGGACAUUAUGCUUACCUGCAUAUUUCGAGCUAUGCUUGCCUGUAUUACUCUUUUUGCUACAGUUUUAGUCACAAUUUCAGUUUAUUUUUGGCUGAGGACAGAGGUUAAUUCUCUAUCUUUGUUGUCAUGCAAAGACGUCUAUGUGUGUAUCCACUAUAUUGUGAUAUCAUUGUUGUCAUGUAAGUAACCUUUAUUUGGUAUGUUGGUUGUCAUCAGAAUCAUGUUUUUUUAUUCUAAUAUUAUAAUAUGUGAUCAA